UGGGGAAUCUUGCACAAUGGGGAACCGUAGCAUGCAGCGACGCCGCGUGAGCGAUGAAGCCCUUCGGGUGUAAAGCUCUUUCGGCAGGGACGAAAACCGACGGUACCUGCAGAAGCAGCUGCGGCUAACUACGUGCCAGCAGCCGCGGUAAUACGUAGGCAGCAAGCGUUGUUCGGAGUUACUGGGCGUAAAGGGUGCGUAGGCGGCCUCUUAAGUUUGGUGUGAAAUCUCCCGGCUCAACUGGGAGGGUGCGCCGGAAACUGAGGGGCUAGAGUGUGGGAGAGGAGAGUGGAAUUCCUGGUGUAGCGGUGAAAUGCGUAGAUAUCAGGAGGAACACCGGUGGCGCAAGCGGCUCUUCUUGGACCACCACUGACGCUGAGGCACGAAAGCGUGGUAGCAAACA
Molecule: ribosomal RNA, 403 nt
Filed under: uncultured bacterium
Lineage: Bacteria
Description: bacterial SSU rRNA
Rfam family: Bacterial small subunit ribosomal RNA
Source: RNAcentral